This 253-nucleotide ribosomal RNA is filed under the name uncultured bacterium. Its description in RNAcentral is "partial 16S ribosomal RNA". It matches the Rfam family "Bacterial small subunit ribosomal RNA", at positions 524 to 776 of the family's 1533-position model. The record is from RNAcentral.
AACGUAGGAGACAAACGUUAUCCGGAAUUACUGGGCGUAAAGGGCGUGCAGGUGGUCUGUUAAGUCUGGCGUGAAAGCUCUCGGCUAAACCGGGAGAGGUCGUUGGAUACUGGCGGACUAGAGGACGGUAGAGGUGUGUGGAAUUCCGGGUGUAGUGGUGAAAUGCGUAGAGAUCCGGAGGAACACCAGUGGCGAAGGCGACACACUGGGCCGUACCUGACACUAAGACGCGACAGCAUGGGGAGCGAACGGG